This 896-nucleotide ribosomal RNA is filed under the name Ochrobactrum sp. HPC427. RNAcentral's name for it is "partial 16S ribosomal RNA". It matches the Rfam family "Bacterial small subunit ribosomal RNA", at positions 70 to 994 of the family's 1533-position model. Lineage: Bacteria; Pseudomonadati; Pseudomonadota; Alphaproteobacteria; Hyphomicrobiales; Brucellaceae. The record is from RNAcentral.
CAAAAAAAGGGUUCCCCAUAAAUUGCAAACCGCCUUCCCGAAAAGGUAACCGGCGCACGGGUGAUUCCCGCGUGGGAAUCUACCAUUUGCUACGGAACAACAGUUGGAAACGACUGCUAAUACCGUAUGUGCCCUUUGGGGGAAAGAUUUAUCGGCAAAUGAUGAGCCCGCGUUGGAUUAGCUAGUUGGUGGGGUAAAGGCCUACCAAGGCGACGAUCCAUAGCUGGUCUGAGAGGAUGAUCACCCCCCCUGGGACUGAAACACGGCCCAGACUCCUCCGGGAGGCAGCAGUGGGGAAUAUUGGACAAUGGGCGCAAGCCUGAUCCAACCAUGCCGCGUGAGUGAUGAAGGCCCUAGGGUUGUAAAGCUCUUUCACCGGUGAAGAUAAUGACGGGAACCGGAAAAAAGCCCCGGCUAACUUCGUGCCAGCACCCGCGGUAAUACAAAGGGGGCUAGCGUUGUUCGGAUUUACUGGGCGUAAAGCGCACGUAGGCGGACUUUUAAGUCAGGGGUGAAAUCCCGGGGCUCAACCCCGGAACUGCCUUUGAUACUGGAAGUCUUGAGUAUGGAAGAGGGGAGUGGAAUUUCCGAGUGUAGAGGUGAAAUUCGUAAAUUUCGGAGGACACCAGUGGCGAAGGCGGCUCACUGGUCCAUUUACUGACGCUGAGGUGCGAAGCGUGGGGAGCAGAAAGGAUUACAUCCCCGGGUAUCCCACGCCUUAAACAUGAAUGUUAGCCGUUGGGGAGUUUACUCCUUCGGGGGGCCACUACCCAAUAAAAAUUCCCCUGGGGGGGCCGGUCCAAAAAUAAAAAUCAAGGAAUGGCGGGGGCCCCCCCAGCGGGGGACUGGGGUUUAAUCCAAACAACCCCCAAACCUUCCCCCCUGGCACCCAUUGC